AGUGAACGCUGGCGGUAGGCCUAACACAUGCAAGUCGAACGGCAGCACAGUAAGAGCUGGCUCUUACGGGUGGCGAGUGGCGGACGGGUGAGGAAUACAUCGGAAUCUACUUUUUCGUGGGGGAUAACGUAGGGAAACUUACGCUAAUACCGCAUACGACCUACGGGUGAAAGCAGGGGAUCUUCGGACCUUGCGCGAUUGAAUGAGCCGAUGUCGGAUUAGCUAGUUGGCGGGGUAAAGGCCCACCAAGGCGACGAUCCGUAGCUGGUCUGAGAGGAUGAUCAGCCACACUGGAACUGAGACACGGUCCAGACUCCUACGGGAGGCAGCAGUGGGGAAUAUUGGACAAUGGGCGCAAGCCUGAUCCAGCCAUACCGCGUGGGUGAAGAAGGCCUUCGGGUUGUAAAGCCCUUUUGUUCGGAAAGAAAAGCAGCAGGUUAAUACCCCGCUGUUCUGACGGUACCCAAAGAAUAAGCACCGGCUAACUUCGUG
This 492-nucleotide ribosomal RNA is filed under the name uncultured bacterium. Its description in RNAcentral is "partial 16S ribosomal RNA". It matches the Rfam family "Bacterial small subunit ribosomal RNA", at positions 29 to 507 of the family's 1533-position model. The record is from RNAcentral.